UUACUGAAAAUAUUGACUUCUUACAGAUUCUUGGACUUUUAUUCGUGGGAUUUGGUGCAUGCCUUUUAUUAGAUAGAAAUACUUUUUUAACAGCUUUGGAUGAAAACAAACAAUUCAUUAUAUAUAUUUCUCAAAUCUUGAUUGGAAUGGGAUCUGCUGUUGUUCUUCUUUGUCUGUUGGGUUAUUUGUCAAUUCACAUC
RNAcentral lists this long non-coding RNA (200 nucleotides) under Ictidomys tridecemlineatus (thirteen-lined ground squirrel). Its description in RNAcentral is "lncRNA (ENSSTOG00000032500.1)". The record is from RNAcentral. Lineage: Eukaryota; Metazoa; Chordata; Mammalia; Rodentia; Sciuridae.